UUUUCAGACGAUACAAUCUGCUUAGACGCUCCGCAGGACGCAGCCUCCGCUAUAGCCUCAGGCUCAGGUGACACCGUGACAGGGAUCCGCCCUUGCAUACACCCAACGACAUAGCAGAGGCAACACUAAUCGGAAAAUCGAACCCACCGAUCCGGCGAGAAACAUGCCUCCUCAGUCAUCAGGUUACUUUUCUGAAAGAAAAGAGUUGAUGGGAAUGGGUGGAGUUGGCAAAAAAAUAUAGGGUCGUCGCCGAGUGGUGUCGAAUACGGAAGAACUUCUGUUCAACCUAGGACGUUGCCAAGGAGACCUUCUCGAAUGUGCCGCCGUCACACGAGUAGAGAAAGGAGGAGGAGAGUAUGGCAAGAUAUUAAUGGCCACACAAGGGUUUGAUUGUAGAAGUAUACUUUUGAACAUAUUUUAAAAGAUGCCGAAUCUUCUUUUAUUUAAAAGUAUUGUUUUGAACACAUUCCAAAUUUUUUUUUUUUGAAUUUUCAUUUAUUUAUUUUUUCUGUCCACCAGAUAUUACUGCUGCUCAAGUGGUUGAACUAGCUAUCAAAGAUAUUAACACCUUGUGGCGGCUUAUGGUGGGAGUGAUAGGUCGGGAUUUAUUUUUGUUUCUUAACCGACUGAAUUGGUAGCUUUCACCGACUCAGCGAAUAGACCGUUAGCCGAAGGUUUUGGAACUCGUUUGGAUCGUCAAAAGGUCAAACUGGGUCGUCGCCGAGUGGUGUCGAAUACGGAAGAACUUCUAUUCAACCUAGGACAUUGCCAAGGAGACCUUCACGAAUGUGCCGCCGUCACACGAGUAGAGAAAGGAGGAGGAGAGUAUGGCAAGAUAUUAAUGGCCACACAAGGGUUUGAUUGUAGAAGUAUACUUUUGAACAUAUUUUAAAAGAUGCCGAAUCUUCUUUUAUUUAAAAGUAUUGUUUUGAACACAUUCCAAAUUUUUUUUUUUGAAUUUUCAUUUAUUUAUUUUUUCUGUCCACCAGAUAUUACUCCUGCUCAAGUGGUUGAACUAGCUAUCAAAGAUAUUAACACCUUGUGGCGGCUUAUGGUGGGAGUGAUAGAUCGGGAUUUAUUUUUGUUUCUCAACCGACUGAAUUGGUAGCUUUCACCGACUUAGCGAAUAGACAGUUAGCCGAAGGUUUUGGAACUCGUUUGGAUCGUCAAAAGGUCAAACUGGUGGGUUGAUCAGUUUUUAUCGGAUGAUUUCGAGGAAUCUUUUUUUUAACCCGGAAAGAAUCCAGUUUUAAACGGCCCAACUCGCAAAUAUCGGCAGCGUAGAGUGUCUUUUGGCACAAUUCAAUCGUUUAAGGCUCGGGAAUGGCGUUUUUUCAAUUUGGAAUAUUUCAGGAUUUUCGUUGGAAGUCUAAAUGGAUUCGAUUUGCAUUGUUUUUUGGUAUUUAGUAGUUGGUUGUAAUUAGGUUUCUUUCCUUAUUUUUACAAUAGAGCAAGUUUGUUUUUGAGCAGUUUCCUUGCGCCGCUAAUUUCCUUACGUUUUUAAGAUUUCUUUUAUGCUGUUAUGAGUUUUAUUUAUAAAUACAUGUAUUGUAGAGUAGAUCAUUCAUUCAAUUAUUAAUAUGUUAUCAG
Long non-coding RNA from Cornus florida, 1590 nucleotides. RefSeq lists it as uncharacterized. NCBI's taxonomy places the organism in Eukaryota, Viridiplantae, Streptophyta, Magnoliopsida, Cornales, Cornaceae. The transcript has 7 exons. The record is from RefSeq and is a predicted model, not a curated record.